This 6822-nucleotide long non-coding RNA is filed under the name Sus scrofa (pig). Its description in RNAcentral is "lncRNA (ENSSSCG00000057277.1)". The record is from RNAcentral. Lineage: Eukaryota; Metazoa; Chordata; Mammalia; Artiodactyla; Suidae.
UGCGGCCCUAAAAGGACAAAAGACGAAAAAAAAUUGAGGCACAUGAUGGUAUAAUAUGCUGUACUUAAAUGUUUUUAUGUCACCAGUCUAAGGAGUUUAUGAAUGUGAUAAUGUAUUGCUAUAUAUCUUUUAAUCAAUAACCCUUUUGAAGUGAUCAAUAACUAACUGCUUCAUCUUAAACAACUGAUAUCAUUGCUUAAUGAUUUGAUGGUUAUCUUUGCUUACUUUUUCUCUUGCCCUGGAACCUGCCUUCCCUCCACACAUCAGAUUUCACCUCCCUGUUCAAUAGAUUAAAAGUAUAAGAAGUUCAGAUCAUUUCCCCAAGACAGAUAUUUACACUGUAGCUUAGUUUCAAAUUUUGCAAAACAUGCUGCUUUCUAAAACUCAAAUAUGAUUAUGUAGUUUUCUUUUUCAUUAGAAUAACAGUUUAGGGAAGAAAUUGCCCUAAUAAAAACUAUACAUCAUAGGUUUAUAUAUUUUAAGUUGCUAAUGUAAUAAUAACACAGUAAAAAGUGUAAAAUUAAGUUGGUGUUGCACCAUAGAAGUGCUCCAUGACAGAAGUCAAACUUGAAUCAAGACCCAAAAUUUAGACCAAAUUUUUCAUUGCAAAGAUGAUGAGAAUGGUCAUUUAGGAAAGGGAAUAGCGUAAAGAGUAACACUGAAAUGGACCACUCAUGAUGUGUUUUCCAAGAGCAGAAAUUAAUCUCACUUAUCUAGAAUUUAGAGUGCAAAGGGUCUGGCAGGUAAACCGGCUGUGCAGCAACGAGGAGCCACAUUCACCUUAUUUAUGUGCUACAGACUCUCCUGCCUUAUAUCAGAACCAAAAAUUACACUGAACAGAACUACUGCUGUGAGCUCAAACCAUCUGAGCAUCUGCCUCAGUGAGCCAUGGUGUAAGUGCAGUUUGUGUGUGUGCUUGAGCUGUGGCAUUUGAAUUCUGAAAUGAUGAUAAAUUGUCUGGUCGAUAAGCCUGUCUUUAUUGAUGAGAUAACUGAAUCACAUAAUGAGUCCGGGCACUGAAGUGAUAACUAGUAUUUAUAGAUUUAUAGAUUCUUCCUGCUCUAAAUAGGUUGAUAAUUUAAAACACAGUAAUUAGGAGGAAUUGACUAGAUCCAAUUGGUCUUCAAAUAGAGCGUUUUUCUAAAAAUCCCACUAAAUUGAAAGUUUGCUAAAAAUAAUACUAAAAUUAGGAGUUGUGUCAACAAAUCCAUUCUCAGGGCAGAACAGAAUUUAAAUGAAAAAAAUCCUAACACAAAGCCUUGGCCUAAAUAAUUGUCAACACCAUUCCUUUUUGCAAAAAUGCUAGAUACAUCAGAAUGUGAUUUAAUUCUUUGCUUUUUCAAGGAGCUAUUUACAGAGUCUGGUCCAUACCAAAUACGCUGGAAGUCUUCAGUGUAGCCCAAUUGAAGGUCAUGGUUAAGUGAUCCAGGCGGUGUAAAAGCACAGGUGUUUGGAUCCUGUCGCUCCUUUACAGCCAGGACCAGCUGUAAAUCAGCAGGUGACAGGAGCAAUACCUCAGCUCUCCUCCUGUGUCAGGUGUCCUCAUGCUGCCUGAGGCUGUGCAGGGGCCUCUCUGUGGUCACACACACACACCUGCCUCUCUGUAGUCUCAUACACACACACACACACACACACACACACACACACCGCCUCUCUGUGGUUUCAUACACACACACACACACAUACCCACUCUGAUGACUUUGAAUUUCCUCCGCUUCUCCGCCAUGUAUCCCAGUGACCCAGAACCUGCACCUGCUGGAAAGAGCCAAGGAUUCACACCACCGUGCCUCGCAUGCAGAGUCAACUAGGUUUCCUUCCAGGAAUAUUUUUACUUAGACAAUUCUUUAUUUUGUUUGUUUGUUUAUUUGUUUAUCUUUCUAGGGCCACGCCCAUAGCACAUGGAGUUUCCUAGGCUAGGGGUCGAUUGGAGCUGGAGCUGCCAGCUGACACCACAGCCACAGCAAUGCAGGAUAUGAACCAGGUCUGUGACCCACACCACAGCCCAAGACAAUGCCAGAACCUUAACCCACUGAGCGAGGCUAGGGAUUGAACCCGUGUCCUCAUGGAUACCAGUCGGAUUGGUUAUCACUGAGCCACAAAGGGAACUCCAGACAACUCUUUUAAAAAUCAAGAAUUCUUUAAGGGAAUUAACUAACAAUGUUCUAAUCAUUGAGAAUUUGGCCUCCAUAGUAAACUCCCUCUGAAUGUUACAGAAGGAGGGCUUUUGGUUGUCUUAGCUUCCUUUGGUGUCUAAUUAAACGGCCAACAGCCAAAAGAUGAAAUUCCUCUCCAGUGCUAGUUUAUAUUUGUAUUCUACCUCUUUCCCUUUCAUCUUGAUCUGUUUAAGCAGGUAGCCAAGUCACAUGGUCCCUUGCCUUGUUGAAGAGGUGAAGUUGUUGGCAAGACAGAAAGCUGACUUUGCUUGCUGACUUUGUUGCUGUUGUAACAACAGUUAUACCCCAAGGCUUCCCCAGGCAGAUGCCCUGGGUCUGGUGAGCAGCAAAACAAAACAAAAACCUGUUUCCCCACAGGAACUCCCUGUCAUAAUGAUUAAUAAUUAGUGCCUUUCACUGUCCCAUGUUCAGGUUUAGAUGAUAAACUGUAGGGCUCCCUGAUAUAAAACUCUGUUAACUCCUGUCCCUCUGUGUAGGCUAGAUUAUGCUGCCCUAAAAGACAAAAUUGCUGUGGCUUUUCCCACUACACACGCUUAUCAGGUGAAUUCUGGGCAGCUGUCUGCCACGGAUUGGCCCAGCGUUCCAGACCCCACCGUCCUAACGUGCUUUUCACCACUGUUAUGGCAGGAAAAGAGAGCUCUUUUGUAUCUUAAGCCAGCAAAUAAAUGAUCCAGCUUAUGGGUCAGAACUCAAUCUACUGGCAAGGUGCGGGGGUAUAGUUUUCCCAUUUUCUGAGAAGAACAGAAUACGAGCGUGAGAAGUCUCACUGCUAGAUAUUCAAACGAGAAGCCGGGGGCUAUUUGUUGUUGUGUUUCAAAGAUGAAAAAUGUACUCUCCAGUGGGCAGAUACAUUCCUUGUCACGUCCUUGGUACCUAGCCAGGAUUCCAGUGACAGUGACUCUCUGAAGACCUUAGUCCCAGUUCUUAGAGUCUAGAUAAGAGCGCUUAGGAGUUCCCACUGUGCGGCAACAGGUUAAGGAUCCAGCACUGCUGCACAUGUGGUACAGGUUGCAUCUGCAGCUUGGAUUCAGUCCCUGGCCCUGGGGGAGUUCUCUUCAUGGCUCAAUGGAAAUGAAUCCAGCUAGCAUCCAUGAGGACACAAGUUCGAUCCCUGGCCUCACUCAGUGGGUUAAAGAUCUGGCAUUACCUUGAGCUAUGGUGUAGGUCACAGACGUGGCUCCAAUCCUGAGUUCUGUGGCUGUGGUAUAGGCCAGCAGCUGCAGCUCCGAUUGGACCACUAGCCUGGGAACCUCCCUAUGCUGUGGGUUUGGCCAUAAAAAAAAAGAAGAUAAUAAAGUUUAAAGUUUUGUUUAUCACUAAACAAGUAAGAGAAUCAACAGCAGACAAGAAAAAAGUUGCAGAUAUGAUUUAAGAUACUUUUAGUCUGAGAACAUUAACAAUAAAAAAAAGUCGUAAAACAGAAAUGCACACUUCAUAAAUGUGUAUGUCUUUAUGCAUAGCCCCCUAACUUAACUGAUAAUCAGGAGGGAAAAAAAAAACUAUUUCAUGCAAAUACAUUAAUGCUUCAUUAGCAUUAUCUGUUGAGAAAAUUAACAAUUUCUUUUGACUGUAGAGAGAAAUUUUAUGUUUCAAUAGAAAACCAUAACACACCUUUUUGGGUUAUCAGAUUCUAGUCCUGUUCAUUGUCUUUGAGCUAUUUUUCACCUCUUUAUAACCUACAUAGUUUUGUCACCUACCUGUAAAUUGGACUGGAUGUUGCUGUUUUGCACAUUUUGUCCAUCUUUACCAAGUUUUCAGUUCUUCACAUUGGGUCCUAUUGUUUUUCUCCCCUCAGUGUGAUCUUGGGAAAAGGCCUAGGGGCUGAUGGCCGUGGUCAGGAGAUCACAGCCCCAUACCUCAGUCCCUGGCAUAGAUAUGCCACCGUUAAUCGAACUAGUCAUCAUCUACUGAAGGACACACUUUAUUUCUAGUUUUUAUAAUGAUUAGAGCACUACUCAUCUAUUUCAUAUUAAGUGAGUUGUGAUUUCAUUUAAGUUGUCAAACUUAUGUGUGUAGUCUUCUUUAUAUCCCUUUAUUAUCAUUUUGAUGAACCCGGGAUCUGUAUUAAGGUCCCCUGUCUCAUUCCUGAUAUUAGCAAUUUGUGUCUUCCCUCUCUUUUUCUUUGUCAGUCUUCCUAGAGGUCCAUCAGUUUUAUUCAUUUUUACAAAAAAAAAUCAAUUUUUGUUUCAUUCCUUUUCUCUAUUUUUUGUCUUUGAUUUAAUUCAUUUAUGCUUUUAUCUUUAUUAAUACCUUCUUGGACUUCCUGUCCCAUGGCUCAGCAGUCAACAAACCCCACUAGCAUCCAUGAGGAUGCAGGUUCGAUCCCUGGCCUGGCUCAGUGGAUUAAGGACCCAGCAUUGCCGUCAUGAGCCGUGGUGUAGGUUGUAGGUGCAGCUCGGAUCCCUCAUUGCUGUGGCUGUGGUGUAGGCCUGCAGGUACAGCUUCGAUUGGACCCCUAGCGUGGGAACCUCCAUAUGCCAUGGGUGUGGCCCUAAAAAGACAAAAGUCAAAAAACAAAAAACACUUUCUGCUUCUUUCAGAUUUAUUUUGCUCUUUUUCUCAUACUUAGAGGUGACGACUUAGACUAUUUAUUUGGAACUUUCUUCUUUUCUAAUAUAAGCAUUUUAGGGCCAUGAAUUUUCAUCUAGUGCUUCUUUAGCUGUGUCCUACAAAUUUUGACAAAUUUCGUUUUUAUUUUAAUUCAGUUUAAUGUAUUUUUUAUUGCUCUUGAGAUUUCCUUCUUAGUUUAUGCACUUUUUUUUACAUAUUUUUAGUUUCAAAGUUUGGAGGUUUUUCUUGUUAUUGAUUUCCAGUUUGAUUCCUUUAUACUCAAAGAACCUAUUCUGUAUAAUUUCUUUUAAAUUUGUAUAAUCCGUUCUGGGGUAAAAUUUCUAUCCACUGAUGGACUUGUGAAGCUAGAAAACAUUAUCUGCACCCAAAAUAUAAUGGCAGGAAAGAUAUGCGAUACCCAUUAUUGAUAUUCCCAUUGCAAAAGGGAGAAAAUGGAAGAGGGAAUGGAGUUACUAGUCACAAGCAGCUUAGAAAUCCAAGUGGGCAAACUCCAUGUGGUCUGAGGGCCUGGGACUCUAACAACCUGGGCUCACAGAUUCACCCUCUGAAUUCCUGAAUCUGCCCUCUGGGUUCCUGGCUCCACCGUUAAAAGUCAUCUUUCAUUUUUUCCUGAAAGGUAGCAGGUUUAUAGUUGAGUAGCUUUAUCAGCCUGCUUCCUGCCUGUAGAAUUUGAGGGGCGGUCUGACAGCUUGGCAUCCUCCUUUGGUUUCGUCGUGUCCAGUUCAGUUCAGUGUUUCUCCGAGAACCUUGUGGGUCUCCCAUGCGUGUCUUAGGGAUUCACUCACUAGACAAAAGACUUCUCUACAAAGCUUUCCUGCCCACUCCCGCAUCUAUUCCUUGUUUAUGCUUAGAAGGCUGAGGAAGUCCACAAACAUGUACCCAUCUUGUCAAAGAGCCCUCCGUGGGAGUUCCCAUCAUGGGCCAGCGGUUAACAAAUCUGACCAGGACCAAUGAGGUUGCGGGUUCAAUCCCUGGCCUCACUCAGUGGGUUAAGUAUCCGGCGUUGCCAUGAGCUGUAGUGUAGGUCACAGAUACGGCUCGGAUCUGGUGUUGCUGUGGCUGUGGCGAAGGCCGGCGGCUAUAGCUCCGAUUAGACCCCUAGCCUGGGAACCUCCAUAUGCCUCGGGAGUGGCCCUAGAAAAGGCAAAAAAAAAAAGCCCUCCGUGUGCUUGAAGACCCUGAUGCUUGAUGAGUGGUGUCCAGCCACUCUCCUGGCUUGCUCUCAGGGAAAGUUCUGACAAGGAUCUCCUAAUUUUAGCAUCAUUUGCAACCUGAGUAGGAUGAGAGUUUCCCAAAUCAUCAAGCCCUGAUUCCUUUCUGCUUAGCAGUUCUUCCUUCAGUGUUACUCUUCCCUCACAUUUUACUUAGGAGUUGCAAGAAGAAAGCAGACAUCCCCUUCGUUCAACAUUCCUUAAAAAUCUCCUCAGCUUCCUAGUGACAAGGACUCUCUGGGACCAAACUCAGGCUCCACUGAGCCGUUGUUCUCACUAGGUUUUGCUCUUGGGAUCCGGCCUUGGCUUAUUUAAUUCAAUUUUAGUAAGAAUCCUGCUGACUCCCUUUAGUGAAAAUCCCCACCCUGAUCAGAUUCCUCAUCCUCAGCCUUGGGCACCUGCCUUCAGCAAAAUUCCUGUCAGGCCACUUUAGCCAGAAUCCCCCUACCCCUGAUGUCUCCUCUUAGUAAGUUUCCAUUCACUGACCCUAGCUGCUCCUGGGCCAUACUUGUGCUUGUGCCUGGAGUUGAGCUGCAGUUGCCAACUACAAACCCUCGUGGUGCUCCCUUGAUGCAGUCAGCCUUACCAUCUUCAAAAAGGGCCAUGAAGACUUGACUUAAACAAUGUCCACGUUCAGGAGUUCCUAUCAUGGCGCAGUGGAAAUGAAUCAGACUAGGAACCAUAAGGUUGCAGGUUCGAUCCCUGGCCUCACUCAGUGGGUUAAGGAUCUUGUGUUGCCGUGAGCUGUGGUGUAGGUCACAGACACAGCUCGGAUCUGGUGUGGCUGUGGCUGUGGUGUAGGCCAGUGGCAACAGCUCCAAUUCAACCCCUACCCUGGGAACCUCCAUAUGCCACAGAUGUGGCUC